Molecule: non-coding RNA, 1679 nt
Organism: Sus scrofa (pig)
Lineage: Eukaryota; Metazoa; Chordata; Mammalia; Artiodactyla; Suidae
Source: the annotation of a RefSeq genome assembly
CACUACAGCUCACGGCAACGCCGGAUCCUUAACCCACUGAGCAAGGCCAAGGAUUGAACCCGCAACCUCAUGGGUCCUAGUCAGAUUCGCUAACCACUGAGCCACGAUGGAAACUCCAUAGCCUGUCCUCCUCUUAAAAUGGGCCAUUUGUCAUCAUUGUAAUACCUCAAGCUUAGUUAACCAAUAAUUUUUCUCAAUAUUCACUUCAUCUGAAGUCUGUUUUUCAGUAGCUUCUCUAUGUGGAAAAAUCUCUGUCUUUGCAACUCCUUCACAGAGGGUUUUUUUUUUUAACUCUAUUGUAUAUAAUCUACUGUUUAAUAUGACAAAUAUACUAGGAGGUGUUUAUAACACCAAAGCUUCUUUUUCUCUCUCUAAAAAUGUUUAAGGAGACGGUUCAAGUUCUUUUUGUAUGACUCAUUAACUAAACAUCAUGGGGAGGGGUCCCAACAAGCCAAACAUGCAGAAAAACCUGAGUUAUCUUGUGGUCAAAGACGUUUACUCAGAAGUCAGUGUUAAAUUAUUUCUAAAGAGAAGAAUAAGCUUCUUAUUCUUAUCAUUUCUCAUCUCUUGUCGUACUCUUUCCCCCUAUUUUGCCUUUGCUUAUCUCUCAUUUUUCUUUUUUUCUCUCUUUAUCCAAAGCUAUACUUUCUCUUCUUUUUUCUAUUUUCCCAUCCUAUUAAAAUAUUCUAUUUCUCUUCUUUCUGUCUCUAUAUUAUCUUAAGAGAGCAUAAACCAUUUAAAACUUGAUCCUCCCAGGAAGCAUUUCCUCCCACUUUGAUUCACAAACCCCUGUUUCUUCUCCUUGAACAUCAAUGGAAAAUGUAAACAUCACGAGGUCUGGUUCCCUGAUUAGUCCUGGAAGCACUGGCUACUUGACAAAGUCACCUGGUUCAAUGGGUGGGCUCUAGGCGGCGCUGCAAUGUGAGGUGUGUCCCUGGUGUGAGAGAUGCAGCAGUCUUGGAUCCCAGUGAGCUUUGAGGAGUUCCACCAAAAGCUUGCUUGACAGAGAGAAGAUACAGGUGCCAGGAAGCCCCAGGAUAAUUUGCCAAACACAGUGCUGACACAGGGGUGCUGGUACCUCUUUGAAAGGCCAGUUUCUGUGGUGGAGCUCUAUCUCCAGCAAAUCUGGGCUGGAAAGGUGCCCCCCAGCCCGCCCAGGUUGAGCCAUGGCUUCUGCAAGACUCUCUUCGCUUCUAAUUCUUUUUACACUGAGGGGACUGAGAGCUCAGUCUGUGACUCAGCCAGAAGAUCGGGUUCCUGUCACCGAAGGGGAUCCAGUGACUGUGAAAUGUACCUAUUCAGUUUCUGGGACCCCUUAUCUCUUUUGGUAUGUCCAACAUCCCAACCAAGGUCUCCAGUUCCUUCUGAAAUACAUUGGAGGGGACAACCUGGUUAAAGGUAGCUACGGUUUUGAGGCUGAAUUUAAUAAGAGUCAAACCUCUUUCCACCUGAAGAAACCAGCUGUCCUAGGGAGCGACUCUGCGGUGUACUUCUGUGCUGUGAGAGACACAGUGGUGGGGGCCACAGAGAGAGCUGAAUACAAACCCCAGCGUACAGAAAAAUCUUUUCAUGAAGACUUAACAUCCUUCCACAAGGGGGUGAUGUGGUUCCAAGAUUUGUCAUUCAUCAUGACAUAUCACAUGGCAUUUCAAACCAAAUAACAAUUAAAAUUUUUUUUC